AAAAAACCCAAGUGAAAUUUUCGAGGAAAAUUUAAAUAGUGACCUAGUCCAGGCCGAAGGGGAAAACAUUUAUUCAGAACAAGUGUUCGAGGAAGAUCUGGAAGAAAUUGAAGUCGGAAGUAACACGAGUGAAGUAAGUUCAGCUGAAACAAUUAGCUCAGAGAGUGAAGGUGAAAUUGAUACUUUUGAUAUAAGACAUAGUAUCCAAAAUUAGUCCAAGAUUGAAAAAUUGAAAUCUGCUGGUGGAUCUGAGGUGGCUACCGUGGUCGAGAGCAUUCUCAAGAAGCUGAUGACCGAUGAUUUGCAAGCUAAGUAUAGUCUUUACGGAGAAAAGGGAAAGAACUCUUUAGUGAAAGUUAAGGGGUUAAGACAACUCAUUAAAGAUGCGGUAGCAGCUCACCCUAGGACUCCAAAUUAUCCAGACGAGGGCACAGUUGACGAGGAAAUUCAAAAAUCCCUUAAGAAAGUCGCAGAUAGAGUUGGGAAGCGUAUGAGGAAGUGACUUGACUUCGCGGCCAAUUUCACUACCCGGUUCAUCUGAUUAUUCAACUUAUAUUUAUUUUAAUAAAAAGUUAUUUAUAUUGCAUAAUAUUUAGAAGAAGUAAAAUAAACUAUAAACGGAAUUAUGUAA
Molecule: long non-coding RNA, 631 nt
Organism: Folsomia candida
Lineage: Eukaryota; Metazoa; Arthropoda; Collembola; Entomobryomorpha; Isotomidae
Exons: 3
Source: RefSeq, a predicted model, not a curated record